AACGGAAAAGGGAUAUAAUUGAUUGGAAUUUCAAAAGUAAGCAUUACCUGUGCAACUAAAAGUGCUUGGGCGGUCGAUUGACCGACCGCCGCAGCCACAAGGUCCAGUGGAUCAGGAAUUAUAGUAGUAAGGAGAAGAUUUUUACA
Molecule: non-coding RNA, 146 nt
Organism: Caenorhabditis elegans
Lineage: Eukaryota; Metazoa; Nematoda; Chromadorea; Rhabditida; Rhabditidae
Source: Ensembl